RNAcentral lists this ribosomal RNA (118 nucleotides) under Ustilaginoidea virens. The record is from RNAcentral. Lineage: Eukaryota; Fungi; Ascomycota; Sordariomycetes; Hypocreales; Clavicipitaceae.
GUAUACGGCCAUGGCUGGCGGCAAAUACCAGGAUCCCGUCUGAUCUCCCCGGAAUCUGGCGAGCGCCAGAUCUGUCGCUUUGCUGCCAACGACCAGGGAACCCCCGGUGCUGUAUGCC